CAUAUAUCAGCAGGCAUGCAACUAACGUUACACCAUAAAAAAAAGCCAAAAGGCUACUACUAGCUUCAUAAGGCUAAAGGCGCCAAGAAGUUAACCGAGACCCCACCCACCCAGUCGGCUAGCUAGCAACACAGGAUGUUUAAACACAUUGGACGCAGAACGACAUCUUUCUAAACCGACGUUGAGCCUCGGGUGAAUGACACUGCCCAAAAGAACCAACAAAGCAGAGCAGAGAAAUAUCUCUUUCACUUUCUACUUCUUCCCUGAGGGGGCAACAGCAGCAGAGGCAAUGACAUCAGCUCAUGUCAAAGCAGUGGCAGACCCUGCUAAGAUGUCCGUUUUCCACAGGAAAGCAGACAAUAAGACAGACACUUUAAAUACCCAUAAAUUCCGAUGCAAGGAGUCAACAAGAUACUUUUCAGGCACAGACUCCAAACACAAGUGUGUAGAACCAGGAGAACUCAACUUUGGUCUUCACCUCUGCUAAUGAAGAGUUCUGCUUCAACUUCCUCUGAUUUGCUCUGAGAAACUAUUUUGAGAGUCUUAAUAAAGUUAUUUGCUUUGGUAAUGAUAAUGCUACUGGUCAUGGUUUGACUAUGUAUU
Molecule: long non-coding RNA, 603 nt
Organism: Oncorhynchus masou masou (cherry salmon)
Lineage: Eukaryota; Metazoa; Chordata; Actinopteri; Salmoniformes; Salmonidae
Exons: 3
Source: RefSeq, a predicted model, not a curated record